This 229-nucleotide ribosomal RNA is filed under the name uncultured bacterium. RNAcentral describes it as "partial 16S ribosomal RNA". It matches the Rfam family "Bacterial small subunit ribosomal RNA", at positions 104 to 334 of the family's 1533-position model. The record is from RNAcentral.
CGGGGUGAGUAAUGUCUGGGAAACUGCCUGAGUGAGGGGGAUAACUACUGGAAACGGUAGCUAAUACCGCAUAACGUCGCAAGACCAAAGAGGGGGACCUUCGGGCCUCUUGCCAUCGGAUGUGCCCAGAUGGGAUUAGCUAGUAGGUGGGGUAAUGGCUCACCUAGGCGACGAUCCCUAGCUGGUCUGAGAGGAUGACCAGCCACACUGGAACUGAGACACGGUCCAG